CGGACGGGUGAGUAACACGUGAGCAACCUGGCUCUAAGAGGGGGACAACAAUUGGAAACGACUGCUAAUACCGCAUAACGUAUCGGGAUGGCAUCUUCCUGAUACCAAAGAUUUUAUCGCUUAGAGAUGGGCUCGCGUCUGAUUAGAUAGUUGGCGGGGUAACGGCCCACCAAGUCGACGAUCAGUAGCCGGACUGAGAGGUUGAACGGCCACAUUGGGACUGAGACACGGCCCAGACUCCUACGGGAGGCAGCAUG
RNAcentral lists this ribosomal RNA (257 nucleotides) under uncultured bacterium. RNAcentral describes it as "partial 16S ribosomal RNA". It matches the Rfam family "Bacterial small subunit ribosomal RNA", at positions 99 to 353 of the family's 1533-position model. The record is from RNAcentral.